Molecule: unclassified non-coding RNA, 376 nt
Filed under: uncultured Actinomycetes bacterium
Lineage: Bacteria; Bacillati; Actinomycetota; Actinomycetes
Description: uncultured actinobacterium contains 16S-23S intergenic spacer region
Source: RNAcentral
UCCGAGUUGACCCCGGCAGUCUCCUAUGAGUCCCCGGCAUUACCCGCUGGCAACAUAGAACGAGGGUUGCGCUCGUUGCGGGACUUAACCCAACAUCUCACGACACGAGCUGACGACAACCAUGCACCACCUGUGCACGGCCCUUACGGACCCCCCAUCUCUGGAGGAUUUCCCUGCAUGUCAAACCCAGGUAAGGUUCUUCGCGUUGCCUCGAAUUAAGCCACAUGCUCCGCCGCUUGUGCGGGCCCCCGUCAAUUCCUUUGAGUUUUAGCCUUGCGGCCGUACUCCCCAGGCGGGGCACUUAUUGCGUUAGCGGCGGCACCGAGGGGGUCGAUACCCCCGACACCUAGUGCCCAUCGUUUACGGCGUGGACUAC